Molecule: unclassified non-coding RNA, 202 nt
Filed under: Pyricularia sp.
Lineage: Eukaryota; Fungi; Ascomycota; Sordariomycetes; Magnaporthales; Pyriculariaceae
Description: partial internal transcribed spacer region
Rfam family: Eukaryotic small subunit ribosomal RNA (bases 1-46)
Source: RNAcentral
AAGUCGUAACAAGGUCUCCGUUGGUGAACCAGCGGAGGGAUCAUUACCGAGUUGAAAAACUCCAACCCCUGUGAACAUAACCUCUGUCGUUGCUUCGGCGGGCUCGCCCGCCGGAGGUUACAAACUCUUGUGUAUUUUUUUAGCAUCUCUGAGCCUAAAAGACAAAUAAUCAAAACUUUCAACAACGGAUCUCUUGGUUCUG